This 1122-nucleotide ribosomal RNA is filed under the name Acinetobacter baumannii. RNAcentral's name for it is "partial 23S ribosomal RNA". It matches the Rfam family "Bacterial large subunit ribosomal RNA", at positions 1 to 1173 of the family's 2925-position model. The record is from RNAcentral. Lineage: Bacteria; Pseudomonadati; Pseudomonadota; Gammaproteobacteria; Moraxellales; Moraxellaceae.
AGUCAAGUAAUUAAGUGCAUGUGGUGGAUGCCUUGGCAGUCAGAGGCGAUGAAAGACGUGAUAGCCUGCGAAAAGCUCCGGGGAGGCGGCAAAUAUCCUUUGAUCCGGAGAUGUCUGAAUGGGGGAACCCACCUACUUUAAGGUAGGUAUUGCAACAUGAAUACAUAGUGUUGCAAGGCGAACGAGGGGAAGUGAAACAUCUCAGUACCCUUAGGAAAAGAAAUCAAUUGAGAUUCCCUCAGUAGCGGCGAGCGAACGGGGAUCAGCCCAUUAAGUUAUGUGUGUUUUAGUGGAACGCUCUGGGAAGUGCGAACGUAGAGGGUGAUAUUCCCGUACACGAAAGGGCACACAUAAUGAUGACGAGUAGGGCGAGGCACGUGAAACCUUGUCUGAAUAUGGGGGGACCAUCCUCCAAGGCUAAAUACUCCUGACUGACCGAUAGUGAACCAGUACCGUGAGGGAAAGGCGAAAAGAACCCCUGUGAGGGGAGUGAAAUAGAUCCUGAAACCGCAUGCAUACAAGCAGUGGGAGCACCUUCGUGGUGUGACUGCGUACCUUUUGUAUAAUGGGUCAGCGACUUAUAUUCAGUAGCAAGGUUAACCGUAUAGGGGAGCCGUAGAGAAAUCGAGUCUUAAUAGGGCGUUUAGUUGCUGGGUAUAGACCCGAAACCAGGCGAUCUAUCCAUGAGCAGGUUGAAGGUUGGGUAACACUAACUGGAGGACCGAACCCACUGUCGUUGAAAAGCCAGGGGAUGACUUGUGGAUAGGGGUGAAAGGCUAAUCAAGCCUGGUGAUAGCUGGUUCUCCCCGAAAGCUAUUUAGGUAGCGCCUCGGACGAAUACCAUAGGGGGUAGAGCACUGUUUCGGCUAGGGGGUCAUCCCGACUUACCAAACCGAUGCAAACUCCGAAUACCUAUGAGUACUAUCCGGGAGACAGACUGCGGGUGCUAACGUCCGUAGUCAAGAGGAAAACAAUCCAGACCGCCAGCUAAGGCCCCAAAAUCAUAGUUAAGUGGGAAACGAUGUGGGAAGGCAUAGACAGCUAGGAGGUUGGCUUAGAAGCAGCCACCCUUUAAAGAAAGCGUAAUAGCUCACUAGUCGAGUCGGCCUGCGCGGAAGAUGU